This 11937-nucleotide long non-coding RNA is filed under the name Homo sapiens (human). Its description in RNAcentral is "non-protein coding lnc-ITGAL-2:9". Lineage: Eukaryota; Metazoa; Chordata; Mammalia; Primates; Hominidae. The record is from RNAcentral.
GCCCGGGUUUGCGGGAACAAAGCAGCGCCCUGCGGAAGGCAGCCCUCGUGAACUCAGAAGUUAGUUUUCGUCUCUGGACCUUUUUAUAAUCGGACUUCAGCCCAUCACUGUCUCGUUUUGUCCUCAGAAACGGCGACAGCAGCCUCUUCCCAAUGUUGAGAGCAAAAAGUGUGAACCCAGAAAUUCCGAGACAGAUCUCAAUUACUUGCCAAGGUUGAGGACGCGCGCGUGACAGCCUCAGGAAGUCCUCACGACAUGUGCCCAAGGUGGUCUGGGCAUAGCUUAGUUUUAUACAUUUUAUGGAGACAUGAGACAUCAAUAAAUGUAUGUAAGAAGUACAUUGGUUCUGUUUGGAAAGGCGGGGCAACUUGAAGCAAAGGCAGGAAGACGUGAAGCAGGAAGGGGGCUUCCAAGAAACAGAAGGUGAGGCACAAACGGUUGCAUUCUUUUGAGAUUCUGAUUAGCGUUUCCAAAGGAGGCAAUCAGAUAUGCAUCUGUGUCAGCCAGCAAAGGGGUGACUUUGAAUAGACUGGGAGGCAGGUUGGCCCUAAGCAAUUCCCAGCUUGACUUUUUCCUUUAGCGUAGUGAUUUGGGGGGGUCCCAAGAUUUAUUUUCCUUUCACAAAAGCCAUGGAGUGGAUACAGGAGAACCUCCUCUAUUGUAGGCUUUUUGGAGCUUGAAAUUCUGGGAGCUUCUAGAUGGCGGAAGCAGCGGGGAGAAUAGGGUAAGGCUGAGAAAGUCAGAGGGCCCUCUCUUCUAGGAGCUUCUCCCAUGUGCUGUGCAGGACGCCUCCCGACCGCCUGUCUCCCUCUAGCUGCAGCCAGGCUCUUGGCUUCCCUGACGUCCUGCCCCUGCGCGGAUGGCCCAAGGCUCCUAGGCUCAAACCCAGCUCAUCCCUUUCUUACCCCAACCUGCUUCCCCUGGGGUCUUUAUCUCAGUAAAAGUCGCCAGCUCUCCCCUGAGACCUCCUUCUCACACUUCCUGAUGGCCUACUCUGUGCUCCACGUGACUUCAUACAUGUCCUGUGUACUGGAGUCAGAGUCACCUCCAACGCGCCUUUUAGCUCUUAGUGGGUUCUUUAGUUGAAUCUAGGCCCAGAUUGAGAAUCGCCUGUAAUCCUGGCGCCUGGGAGGUCGGGGCAAGAGGAUUCCUUGAGUCCAAGAGAAUGAGAUCAGCCUGCUCAACUUAGGAGACCCUAUCUCAAAAAUAAAUAAGAAAAAAUGAAUCGACAGCAGACAGACUAACAGGAGGAAAGAAUACAAAUUGUACCUGUUUUACAUGUACUCAGGCAUCUUCACAAGAGAGAGCAGUCAGAAAAAGUGGCUGAAGCCAGGUGCUUUUAUAUUUCUUUUCUUUUUUUUUUUUUUGCAGAGACAAGUGAACAUUUAUUUUUAUGUCUUUCUUCCUAUGUGUAUUUCAAGUCUUUUUCAAAACAAGGCCCCAGGACUCUCCAGAUUCAAUUAUGUCCUUGGGCUUGGUCGACUGCUGCAGGAGUCUUAAGGAGCCUUGUGCAAAUGCUAGAGUGACUCAUUUACCAACAUUAAACCCUAGGAUAGAUGCAACAGAGAAGUACUACUUCCUCCAUGGAAUGUGCUGAUUUCAGGCGACGUGGCACCCAAUGUAGAAAACGCUGGAAUUUUUCCUUGGAACUGGACUGUGAUGAGAGGUGCUUGCCAUGAACAUAAGCUACUGUCUUUUUUUUCUUUUUUUGAGACGGACUUUCACUUUUUUUGCCCAGGCUGGAGUGUAAUGGCGCGAUCUUGGCUCACCGCAACCUCCGCCUCCCAGGUUUGAGUGAUUCUCCUACCUUAGCCUCCUGAGUAGCUGGGAUUACAGGCGUGCGCCACCAUUCCCAGCUAAUUUUUGUAUUUUUAGUAGACACAGUGUUUCUCCAUGUUGGUCAGGCUGGUCUCAAACUCCUGACCUCAGGUGAUACGCCCGCCUCAGCCUCCCAAAGUGUUGGGAUUACUGGCGUGAGGCAUCGUGCCCAGCAAGCUACUGUCUUUUCUUUGACCCUUUCCAGUUUUUGAAGAUAAAGCAGGAAAUAAUCUUCUCUGAAAGUACUUGAUAAAAAUUCCCAAAACAACAAAAACACAUGCUUCCACUUCAUUGAUAAAAAUUUACUGCGGUUUGGCACCUGGGUCUAGUUCAGCUGGCAGAUGAGCUGAUUGAUGCGUUAACCCCCACAGCCAGGUGUGCCCAUCUCCUUGAGGAAGCCCACUCUAUUUUUGGUAGCAUGACGGGCCACUGAAAGGUGGAAAGGGCGCAAGAACCAUGAGAUCUCCUGGAAAUGCUUCCCUGGGAAGGCAAUUUCAUGAAUGAGGUCUUCCAAGCAAAUGACGCCAAACUUCCCCAGGUCCUCCUCAAUCACUGUGUUGUCUGUCAGAGGGAUGGUCUUAUUCUUUUUUUUUUUUUUUUUUUGAGACAGAGUUUCGCUCUGUCGCCCAGGCUAGAGCGCAGUGGUGCAAUCUCGGCGCACUGCAAGCUCCACCUCCCAGGUUCACGCCAUUCUCCUGCCUCAGCCGCCCAAGUAGCUGGGACUACAGGCGCCCACCACCGCGCCGGACUAAUUUUUUGUAUUUUUAGUAGAGACGGGGUUUCACUGUGUUAGCCAGGAUGGUCUCGAUCUCCUGACCUCAUGAUCCACCCAUCUUUGGCCUCCCAAAGUGCUGGGAUUACAGGCGUGAGCCACUGCGUCUGGCCGAUGGUCUUAUUCUUGACCUUGGCUUGUCCAUGUUUCAAAAUGAAUUCCCAGACAGACUUCAGAUUUGGAAAUCCUCAGGUCACAUAAGGUUCCACUAUACGCAGCAUUUUUAAAAAGACACCACUAAAAAUUUUCUUCAGGCAAAGUCUUGCAAUGGUUCUCUGCACCAGUAAACUCCCGCCAUCAAUCCUUUUGAUGCGUACAACAAAGGCCAAGGAACAUUUAUCCGGCAAUUCCAAGGCGUGAGGUUGCACUUCUAGUUGUCUUGAGAUGCACCUUGUCACGUUUCUCCUGCCAGGAAUCAUGUAGGAAUGAUUCCAGUCACUUAAACCUGAGCCCUUUUCCUUUCCUCUGCUCCUUUGCCAAAAAUGCCUGCUUUGCCUGGGUGGCUUUGAGGGCUUGAUAAGCCUUCCUAUUUUUCAGGAGAUUUUCUGGAACCAAAGGAAUUUUUCUGUGCUCUUGCUCUGCCAUCUUUCUAGUGGUGCAGCUACUGAUCAUUAUAUUUCUUUCUUUUUUUAUUUUGAGACGGAGUCUCACUUUGUCACCCAGGCUGGAGUGCAGUGGCGCGAUCUCAGCUCACUGCAAGCUCUGUCUCCCGGGUUCACGCCAUUCUCCUGCCUCAGCCUCCCGAGUAGCUGGGACUACAGACGCCCACCACCACGCCUGGCUAAUUUUUCUGUAUUUCUAGUAGAGACGGGGUUUCACCGUGUUAGCCAGGAUGGUCUCAAUCUCCUGACCUCGUGAUCCGCUCAUCUCUGCUUCCCAAAGUGCUGGGAUUACAAGUGUGAGCCACCACGCCCGGCCUGUAUUUCUUAAAUAACCAUAAUUUUUUUUUUUUUUUUGAGAUGGAGUUUUGCUCUUAUUGCCCAGGCUGGCGUGCAAUGGCGCAAUCUCUGCUCACUGCAACCUCUGCCUCCCGGGUUCAAGCGAUUCUUCUGCCUCAGCACCCCGGGUAGUUGGGACUACAGGCAUGCACCACCACACCCGGCUAAUUUUGGAUUUUUAGUAGAGAUAGGGUUUCACCAUGUUGGUCAGGCUGGUCUUGAACUCCUGACCUCAGGUGAUCCACCCACCUUGGCCUCCCAAAGUGCUGGGAUUACAGGCGUGAGCCACUGCACCUGGCCAAGAACAAUAAAUUUUAAAAGAAAUGACAGGACGAAGAAAAUCUGGCUAGGGCAGUAAAAUUUUCAAGGGGAGAUCUGUGUGGGUUGGGGGGGCAUCAAACAGGUGGAAGAUAUGGAUUACUUUGUUAAGUGUGUUUAUUCUGGUCCCUUGGGGCCUCUAAGGGCUAUUUUCUCACCCUGGGGAGAGGAGGCAAAAAGUUUGGGAGGGGCAUAAGGAUUCAUUGUUGCCCAGGGGGUGUGUUCCCAGCCCUAGGUCUCCCAGGCUCUCAGACCUCGGAAGGACACAAGAGAAAACUGAAAACUUCCCUUAAAAGCAAUGACAUUUUGUCUCUUGCAGUGCCCACCCCUCAGUGUGGUGCCCAUUACCCACAGUCUGGAAGAGCUCUGGGAGAUCCUAGAAGCUCCCUUGGGGGUCUGGACCCUCCUGGGAAAGAACCAGGGGCAGAGUUCACAAUCCUGGAGGUCAGCCUCUGAGGUCCAUGUCACCAGGCCAGUCGAUCCACUGAAGGGCCCCUGGCUCAAGCAUUGCCAGCAGUGGGGACAGGUGAAGGAACACAGGCCCGCUGGGCAACAGGAAGCAGGGGUGGGCCUCGUUGUGGGAGAAGUGGGUGCUAUACCAGCUGCGGGCAAAGGGUCACUCCCCGGAGUACCUGAGGCCUGGCUGAAGGUACUGGCGAAGUGUGGCUGCACUGGGGACAGGAAUGAGGUGCUGAGUGAGUGCCAGAUGUUGAGGCCGGGCAGAGACUGCAGAUUUGGGGAAGGUCUGGCUACAGGGAGCCUUGGCCAAAGGCUCAGAGACCAGGUCAGUGUUUCUGACACCAAGGGCUUAUGACAGCUCCCAAAUAGACUCCUGCUGGUCCCUUCCAAAUGUGUCAUUUUUCUGAGUGGCCAUUGGGAAACUGCUGAUUCAUAACUUACCUCUGGCCCUGUCAACUCCUCAAGGCCUACUCAUAUUCAGGUGACAGAAUCAACCUUCACAACAGCAGCAUUCAGAUGGGUACCCCUGGGAGCCACCCUCAUCCCCCACCCCCAGACAGUGCUGGCCAACUGAGGAGCUCACCAGGCAGUGACAUUCCCACACACCUCAAGGCCAACCAGAGGAGCCACCAUCAACUACACAGGCAGCUGUUCCAGGGCCUGGGGGCCUGGAGACAGAAAGGUGAACUUUCUUCAUCCUAAAUUUGAAUUCACACACUGCCACUGAAUGGGCCGAUUCAUAGCACAGCCUGACUGUAGUCCCAUGGGAUGUCACCAGUCAAAUUAAGUGCUGGGCGCGGUGCCUCACGCCUGUAAUCCCAGCACUUUGGGAGGCCAAGGAGGGCAGAUCACCUGAGAUCAGGAGUUCAAGAGCAGCCUGACCAACAUGGUGAAACCCCAUCUCUACAAAAAAUACAAAAAUUAGCUGGGUGUGGUGGCACAUGCCUGCAAUCCCAGCUACUCCAGAGGCUGAGGAAGGAGAAUGGUGCGAACCCGGAAGGCGGAGGUUGCAGUGAGCCGAGAUCACACCACUGCACCCGAGCCUUGGUGACAGAGUGAGACUCUAUCUUUAAAAAAAAAAAAAGGCCGGGCACAGUGGCUCACACCUGUAAUCUCAGCACUUUGGGAGGCUGAGGCGGGCCGAUCAACUGAGGUCGGGAGUUUGAGACCAGCCUGACCAACAUGGAGAAACCCCAUCUCUACUAAAAAUACAAAAUUAGCCAGUCGUGGUGGCGCAUGCCUGUAAUCCCAGCUACUCAGGAGGCUGAGGCAGGAGAAUCACUUGAACCCGGGAGGCAGAGGUUGCGGUGAGCCAAGAUCGCACCAUUGCACUCUAGCCUCGGCAACAAGAGCAAAACGCCAUCUCAAAAAAAAAAAAAAGAAAGAAAGAAAGAAAAGAAGCCCAGUCUCGGUCAGGUGUGGUGCCUCACACCUGUAACCCCAGCACUUUGUGAGCCUGACGGGGGCAGAUCACUUGAGGUCAGGAGUUCAUUACCAGCCUGGCCAACAUGGUGAAACCCCGUCUCUACUAAAAAACAAUUAAAAAUUAGCCGGGUGUGGUGGCAGGUGCCUGUAAUCCCAGCUACUCAGGAGGCUGAGGCAGGAGACUCACUUGAACCUGGGAGGUGGAGGCUGCAGUGAGCAGAGAUCACACCACUGCCCUCUAGCCUGGGCAACAGAGCAAGACUCCGUCUCAAAAAAAAAAUUGUAGCAGGACGAGCCGCAGACAAGAACCCCUCAGACACCAAGUUGUGAAAGGCAAGGGCUUUAUUCAGCUGGGAGCAUCGGCGGAUUCAUGUCUCCAAAAACCGAGCUCCCCGAGUGAGCAAUUCCUGUCCUUUUUAAGGGCUCACAUCUCUGAGGGGGUAAUGAUUGAUUGAACAAACAGUGGGUACGUGACUGGGGGCUGCAUGCACAGGUAAUCAGAACGGAACAGAACAGGACUGGGAUUUUCACAAUGCUUUUCUAUACAAUGUCUGGCAAUCUAUAGAUAACACAAGCAGUUAGGUCAGGGGUUGAUUUUUAACCAGGGUGCAGUGCUGGGCUAUCUGCCUGUGGAUUCCAUUUCUGCCUUUUAGUUUUUACUUCUUCUUUCUUUGGAGGCAGAAAUUGGGCAUAAGACAAUAUGAGGGGUGGUCUCCUCCCUUAAAGUGAGAAAGAGAAGGUCAAGAUGCCAGGCUCCAGGGAAUGUCAUAAAUUCAGGUCAGCAAAAAUGAGUCACACCAGGAGUAAGGAACAUAUAAAUAGCAUUCCUUCCUCAACAAAAUAUCCUCUUCCAGCUGGGACGGAGACGUCAUCCCCUCUUCUCCCCUUUCUGCCUUUCUCUUAGGCUUCCUCCUUCCUGGGGAUCCUGGGCAUUUUGACUCACAGCUGGGCCUCCUCCUACUCCCAGGAGAUGAGGGUGUAAGGUCAGCUGAGAGAAAGGAAAAAUAGACCUAAAGUUAGGCAGGCAACUUUUUAUUAAUCUGCCAGCUGCUCCCCUAAUAGAGAGGAAGCAGCCCCAAGCUUACAGAAUGAGGGGUUUAUAUUGGGGAGGGGAGUUUGAGGGAGUUCUUUGGUAUGGCCGCAUCUCGGGGUUGUUUGCUGGUUAAUUUUUCUACAUAUUACCUUGUGACGUUUAUUACAGGAGGGUGUAGGUAAAGUUUGUUUAUGUUUCCCACAACCUCCCCCUGUGCGGUGUGGAUGAUUUGUACCUGGGGUUUGCUUAUUGCAGCAAGGUCUGAUAAGUGAAGUCUGCUGGCUUCACCGCGGCACCUAGAUAAGGGCUUAGAAAUGUAAAGAGGCUUGGGGGAAGGGUGGGCAGCACCAAGAAGCUUUCUUGGGCAGUUUGUCCCUAACAUUCCAGCCCUUUAAUAGGUAAUAGAAGAGGGGUGCCAUUGUCUGGCUGCUUCUUGCUGGGAAGGGGCGACGGUUGUGGGGGAAGGCUGGACAGUAGGGACUACAGUUUUUGGAGCCAUUGGUAUUCCUGGAGCAGCAUUAUAUCUUGUAUUGUCGCAUAGGUGAAGGCUCUGAUACGGUCCUGUAAAAACUGGGUGAGAUGGUGUAGGAGACAAGGGCCGAAUGCUAGGAAAAGAAAAAUGGUUAUGGCCGGGCCUAGAAGGGGCAUUAGCUAUGGAAACUAGGUAUUAAAAGACCAGGAGGGCCACGCUGGCCAUCAAGGGAUGUUUUCUUUAAUUUUUUGUGCUCGGUCCUUUAGUCUUUUUACAGCAUGUUGUACUAAGCCAGACUGGUUAAGAUAAAAGCAACACUUUUCAUCUAGAAAAAGGCAGAGUCCUCCUUUUUCGGCUGUGAGUAGGUCUAAGUCUCUGUGGUUUUGAAGAACCAUUGCUGCUAAAUAAUUUAUUUGUGAUUGGAGAGUUGUAAUGGAUUUGGCUAUUUUUUCCAAGCUAUUUGUGAGGUCUUUGGAGAGGGAUUGGUAAUAGGAAACGGAGGUGGUUAAUCCCGCAAUCCCAGUUCCAACUCCUGUAGUUAUUCCGAGGUCUACUAAUAGAGGUAUGAGUUGUAUAGCACGGCGGUGUCAGAUAGGGGUAUUAACGGGGAUUGGUAGGGGUUGGUCUCCUGGGGCAACGUUGAUUUUUGGACUGAGGAAAACCAGGGUGUGCAGGCGCCCAUCCAGUUAGAGGGGAGGCAAAUAUAAGUUGAGGUACUGCAUAGGAAAAGUAUGCCUUGGUUUGUUAGAGAGAACUGGUGUGUAUGCUAAAAAGAUAUACAUUUUGUUAUUUUCAUGCAUUUAUACUUCUGGGGUCCCGGCUAGGGCUGCUGCUGUAAGUGGUUGUAAAGGGGUGUUUGGUUUAGGCUGGGAGGCUUUUGGGUUCUUUUUUUUGCCAGUGUAAGAGGAAGCGUUUUGUUUCCACUAAGAUGCAUGUGGGAGUGUUGUUGAAUGUUGGGAGAAGGAGACAGUCCCGGGUGGUGGGUGUAGGGUAAGGAUGGUGCAUGGAGAGGGGAGUCAAGGGAAGAGGGAUAAACAGGGGAGGUGUUGGCCAUUACAGUACCCUUAAUUUUUGUUAAGGAGGUGGAGGCUAGAGAAAUAAAGCCUGUCUUUUUUGUUGGCGGCUUUGAGAGUAGUAUGUUCGGUGGGAGGUUUGAGUUGUAGGGUAAAGUUGCAGUUUGGAAUUCAGGUGGCUGAGGGGAAUGCCAGAGGGUAGAUGUCAUUGGAUGCACAGCAGUGCUGGAUAGGAUAAGAUUUUGUGGGUUGUUAUGGCUCCUAAUACGGGUUUAUCACAGCUGUGGUAGGGGGAUAGGUUGCGUAAAUAGGGAUGUAAGGUUGUAACAGCUGGACCCAACUCAUUAGCUAACUGAGGGGAGAUUUCUGUUAAUGCCUGCAUGUCGAGUUCGAGGGGGCUGUUAAUGAGGAUUUCGGGAUGGUAGGUUACUUGGGUGGAAGUCCAGUUACAGGCUGAGGCAGGGAUUGCAUUGUAUAUUGUGGAGAGGAGGGAUAGAGGAGGUUCCUGGAGGUAGGGGUUUAGCUUCAAUUACUCGGCCAAGGAAAACAACUGCAUACCCAGCAAUUUUGGGGGAGCCAGUGGGUACGGAAGAGGAGCUAUCUAUAAAUAGCUGGUCAUUGGGGUUGGUGAGAGGCUGGGAGGAAAUGUUUAGAAAGUGUGGCUGCAGGUGAUCUAGGAUGUUAGUAUAAGAAUGAGUAGAAGGGGAAGAAGAUACAGGGAGUAAGGAUGCUGGGUUGAGGGGAGCACUUUUGAAAAGACUGAAUUUGGGAUUUUCGAUAAAGAAGGCAUGGAGUAAGCCGGGCGCGGUGGUUGACGCCUGUAAUCCUAGCACUUUGGGAGGCUGAGGCGGGUGGAUCACCUGAGGUCAAGAGUUCGGGACCAGCCUGGCCAACAUGGUGAAACCCCCUCUCUACUAAAAAUACAAAAAUUAGCCAGGCGUGGUGGCACACGCCUGUAAUCCCAGCUAUGCAAGACACUGAGGCAAGAGCGAAACUCCAUCUCAAAAAAAAAAAAAAAAAAGGCAUGGAGUGAUUGAAUCCAUGAAGGAGAAAGGGAGCCUAAUGCUCAGGAGGAGAGGAGAUCUUGUAGAUUAUGAGGACUGCAGACGGUGGUAUUCUGGCUGAAAGUUAGUUUCCUGCUUUUUAGAGCUAAAAUGGCCACCACUGCUAGUGCUUUAAGGCAGGUUGGCCACCCUUUGACUGUGUCAUCUAGUUGUUUAGAGAGGUAAGUUACAGGGGCAAAAGAAGGAGGAUUUUUUUCCUGUUGUCCUAAGACAUCGAGGGUUAUUCCUCAGUUUUUGGAAGUAUGGAGAGUGAAAGGUUGGGAGAUAAUAGGUAAGGACAGAGUUGGUGCAGUGACGAGCGGUUUUGAGUUUGUAGAAGCUGGGGAGUAUGUUAUGUGAGGGUUUUAGGGGUUCAUCGAGAGGGUGUUUGGCCGCUUUAUAGAGGGGGCAAGCUAGGAGGGUAAAGUUGAGAAUCCAUAUUCUAAAGAAGCCUGCUAACCCUGGGAAGGAAAGGAUUUCUCGUUUGGAAGAGCGCGGGGGGUAGAUUAUUAAUGCUGCUCAGGCUGGGGUCACAGUCCAGGCCCCAGGGGAAGUUGAAUUUCUAAGUAGGUUACCAUGGAGGUGGAGAAUAGUGUGGAGUUUUGAAAAGGGUAUCUCUGCCCAGGAGCGGAGUUGGACAUGAGGGCAGGACUAAGGAAGAGUGAGUGAAGGAAAAACUGUGCAGGGAGCAGAAGAGUGGAGGGGUGGCUCGGGGUUUGGUGACUUGUCCAUCAAUUCCUACAACAGAGACCUGGGAGGACUGGGUGGGUCCUGAAAAAUUAGGUAAAGCAGAGUAGUUUGUCCCGGUAUUAAUUUAAAAAAUAUAUAUACUGGCCCAUUUGCCACCAUUAGGGUUAUUUUGGCUUGAAUGAAGAGAUGGUAGUUGCUGGGGGCGUUCAUUCCAGGGCACCGUCAAGUCUUCAGUGGCAAGGCCGAUGAAAUCCGAGUAGGAGGUUUUGGCUGGCUCAGGAGGGGAUGGGGGCAGUCCUUGCUGGGGCCACUCACAGUCUGACUUCCAGUGGGGUCCUCCACAGAGGGGGCAUGGCCUGGUGGGCUUUCCUGGGUUUGGGCAUUGUCUGGACCAGUGGCCUUUAUUGCCACACUUGGAACAGGUGCCAGGUGGAAGUGAAUUGUUAGGAGGCUUCCAUGUGGAGCUGCGGUCCCGUGGGCCUGCAGGGCCUCUAAUGGCAAAGGCAAGCAUUUGAAACUUUGCCUGUUUUUGCCUUUUAUUUUCCUCAUUAUGAUUGUUAAAGAUUUUGAAGGCUAAAUUAAGAAGGUCUCAUUGUGGGGUUUGAGGGCCAUUGUCAAGCUUCUGAAACUUGCAUCAAAUAUUGGGAGUGGAUUGGGAGAUGAACUGAAGGUUUAAAAUAUUGGGAGACAAACUGAAGGUUUAAAAUAGUGUUUCUUUUUGGGCUGGCUGGGUCUGGGUUGGUAUAUUUUCUCAUGGCUUCAGUUAAAUCAGAGAGAAAAAGGGCUGGGUUUUCGUUAGGAACCUUGGGUGAUUUCUGAAAGUUUUUUAUAGUUUACCGCUUUAUAGGCAAACUUUUGGAGUCCUGUAAAGAGACAUACAAUCAUGUGGUCUCAAUGGUGGCGUCCAGAGGCCCCGUCUUGAUAAUCCUAGGGUGGUCCUGGUUGGGGACUGCCUUUGCACCAGUAGGCUGGGCAGGAGCCUGGUGAUGAAUGGUAUCAGCAUGUGCCUGAUCUAGGGUCCAGUUAUGGUCUCGGUCUUCUGGGGUGAGGGUAGAAGAGAGGAUGAUGUAGGGGUUAUGCUAGGUUAGUUCAUAAGACUGGGUAAGGUACUGAAACUUCCUAAUAUAAGAGGUAGGGUCUUCUGGAAAUGAACCAAGUCUUUUGUUAAUUACAGAGAGAUCAGUGAGGGAGAAGGGAACAUAAACUCUAACAAUACUUUCAGCUCCUGCUGCUUCCUGAAGGGGAAGUAAGGGAGCUGGUUGCUGAACAUGUUGGGCCCAAGAGCGGGUGAGGGGUGGAGACGGAGAGGAACCAGAGUCAGAAGCGGGGUGGUUUGAGAGACGGGGAGAAGGGUAGAGCUGGAACGGGGACAUACAGUGGAGGAUUAGGAUGCUCCUGUGGAGGAUCGUGAUGCUGUCGGGGAGGGGGAAAAUUGGCAGAGUCAAAGGAAGAGGAAUCGUCCUAAGCUGGGGCUGUGGGGAGGAGGAUAGGAGGCGAGUCAGAUUUGGAGCGGACAAGGAGGAUUUAGAAAGUAGAACAAGACUGACAGAGGGAAUGGCAGUUACAGAGAGUGAAGAUGUAGCAGGACAACCUGCAGACAAAACCCUUCAGACACCGAGUUAAAGAAGGAAGGGCUUUAUUCGGCCAGGUGCUUCAGCAAGACUCACUUCUCCAACAACCAAGCUCCCCGAGUGAGCAAUUCCUAUCCCUUUUAAGGGCUCACAACUCUAAGGGGGUCCACGUGAGAGGGUUGUGAUCUAUUGAGCAAGCACGGGGCACAUGACUGGGGGCUGCAUGCACCGGUAAUUAGAUCGGAACAGAACAGGACAGGGAUUUUCUUUUUUUUUGAGACAGAGUCUCGCUGUGUCACCCAGGCUGGAGUGCAGUGGCGCGAUCUCUGCUCACUGCAAGCUCCGUCUCCCAGGCUCACACCAUUCUCCUGCCUCAGCCUCCCAA